This 418-nucleotide ribosomal RNA is filed under the name Acanthamoeba sp. MN-2012. Its description in RNAcentral is "SSU rRNA". It matches the Rfam family "Eukaryotic small subunit ribosomal RNA", at positions 780 to 1097 of the family's 1831-position model. Lineage: Eukaryota; Discosea; Longamoebia; Acanthamoebidae. The record is from RNAcentral.
GCAGAUUCGAUUUUCUGCCACCGAAUACAUUAGCAUGGGAUAAUGGAAUAGGACCCUGUCCUCCUAUUUUCAGUUGGUUUUGGCAGCGCGAGGACUAGGGUAAUGAUUAAUAGGGAUAGUUGGGGGCAUUAAUAUUUAAUUGUCAGAGGUGAAAUUCUUGGAUUUAUGAAAGAUUAACUUCUGCGAAAGCAUCUGCCAAGGAUGUUUUCAUUAAUCAAGAACGAAAGUUAGGGGAUCGAAGACGAUCAGAUACCGUCGUAGUCUUAACCAUAAACGAUGCCGACCAGCGAUUAGGAGACGUUGAAUACAAAACACCACCAUCGGCGCGGUCGCCCUUGGCGUUCGUGUUCACGCACGGGCGCGAGGGCGGUUUAGCCCGAUGGCACCGGUGAAUGACUCCCUAACAGCUUGUGAGAAA